This 370-nucleotide transfer-messenger RNA is filed under the name Parvibacter caecicola. Its description in RNAcentral is "Standard tmRNA". It matches the Rfam family "transfer-messenger RNA". From Rfam's summary of the family: Bacterial tmRNA, also known as 10Sa RNA or SsrA, is named for its dual tRNA and mRNA-like properties. Its role is to liberate the mRNA from a stalled ribosome. To accomplish this part of the tmRNA is used as a reading frame that ends in a translation stop signal. Lineage: Bacteria; Bacillati; Actinomycetota; Coriobacteriia; Coriobacteriales; Coriobacteriaceae. The record is from Rfam by way of RNAcentral.
GGGGGCGACUGGUUUCGACAAGGUAAGUUCGAUGUGAGGAGCAGGUCGUGGUCUCCUCGCCACGUUAAACAGGGGUACCGUCAAUUUAAUUGGCAAGAAAUCUUUCCAGAGCGCUCCGGCGCUCGCCAUGGCUGCUUAAUCGCGCCUGGCUGUCAAUCCCGGAACUUCCCCGCCCCGGGUGCGGCAUCAACCUCAGGGGAAUGCUCCUUGGCACGUAGUUCGUAUGGCCAAGGCUAAGACUGAACGAGCUCGGGGCGGCAACGCGUGUGCGUGUGCCAAGCCGCCCUUAAACCCCGACCACGUACUAAGCUUGUAGCGCCUUGCAGAGAAUUUAGUUUGGACCGGAGUUCGAUUCUCCGCGCCUCCACCA